GAGGUUUUCAGGGCUUCGGCUCGACUCCCCCACCCUUUGUGAACGUACCUCUGUUGCUUUGGCGGCUCCGGCCGCCAAAGGACCUCCAAACUCCAGUCAGUAAACGCAGACGUCUGAUAAACAAGUUAAUAAACUAAAACUUUCAACAACGGAUCUCUUGGUUCUGGCAUCGAUGAAGAACGCAGCGAAAUGCGAUAAGUAAUGUGAAUUGCAGAAUUCAGUGAAUCAUCGAAUCUUUGAACGCACAUUGCGCCCCUUGGUAUUCCGGGGGGCAUGCCUGUUCGAGCGUCAUUACAACCUUCAAGCUCUGCUUGGAAUUGGGCACCGUCCUCACUGCGGACGCGCCUCAAAGACCUCGGCGGCGGCUGUUCAGCCUUCAAGCGUAGUAGAAUACACCUCGCUUUGGAGUGGUUGGCGUCGCCCGCCGGACGAACCUUCUGAACUUUUCUCAAGGUUGACCUCGGAUCAGGUAGGGAUACCCGCUGAACUUAAGCAUAUCAUAAAGCGGAGGAA
This 513-nucleotide ribosomal RNA is filed under the name Lasiodiplodia theobromae. RNAcentral describes it as "eukaryotic LSU rRNA". The stretch from base 138 to 291 matches the Rfam family "5.8S ribosomal RNA". Lineage: Eukaryota; Fungi; Ascomycota; Dothideomycetes; Botryosphaeriales; Botryosphaeriaceae. The record is from RNAcentral.